UUACUACUCCCUCCGUCCGGAAAUACUUGUCCGAGGAAUGGAUGUAUCUAGAUGUAUUUUAGUUCUACAUACACCCAUUUGUAUCCAUUUCUACGACAAGUAUUUCCGGACGGAGGGGGUAUUUU
Molecule: non-coding RNA, 125 nt
Organism: Triticum aestivum (bread wheat)
Lineage: Eukaryota; Viridiplantae; Streptophyta; Magnoliopsida; Poales; Poaceae
Source: Rfam